This 468-nucleotide ribosomal RNA is filed under the name uncultured bacterium. RNAcentral's name for it is "partial 16S ribosomal RNA". It matches the Rfam family "Bacterial small subunit ribosomal RNA", at positions 28 to 507 of the family's 1533-position model. The record is from RNAcentral.
GACGAACGCUGGCGGCGUGCUUAACACAUGCAAGUCGAACGGAAAGGCCCUGCUUUUGUGGGGUGCUCGAGUGGCGAACGGGUGAGUAACACGUGAGUAACCUGCCCUUGACUUUGGGAUAACUUCAGGAAACUGGGGCUAAUACCGGAUAGGAGCUCCUGCUGCAUGGUGGGGGUUGGAAAGUUUCGGCGGUUGGGGAUGGACUCGCGGCUUAUCAGCUUGUUGGUGGGGUAGUGGCUUACCGAGGCUUUGACGGGUAGCCGGCCUGAGAGGGUGACCGGCCACAUUGGGAAUGAGAUACGGCCCAGACUGCUACGGGAGGCAGCAGUGGGGAAUAUUGCACAAUGGGCGGAAGCCUGAUGCAGCAACGCCGCGUGCGGGAUGACGGCCUUCGGGUUGUAAACCGCUUUCGCCUGUGACGAAGCGUGAGUGACGGUAAUGGGUAAAGAAGCACCGGCUAACUACGUG